RNAcentral lists this ribosomal RNA (492 nucleotides) under uncultured bacterium. RNAcentral's name for it is "partial 16S ribosomal RNA". It matches the Rfam family "Bacterial small subunit ribosomal RNA", at positions 29 to 523 of the family's 1533-position model. The record is from RNAcentral.
AUUGAACGCUGGCGGCAUGCUUUACACAUGCAAGUCGAACGGUAACAGGUUAAGCUGACGAGUGGCGAACGGGUGAGUAAUGCAUCGGAACGUGCCCGAUCGUGGGGGAUAACACUUCGAAAGAAGUGCUAAUACCGCAUACGAUCUGAGGCUGAAAACGGGGGACCGUAAGGUCUCGCGCGAUCGGAGCGGCCGAUGUCAGAUUUGGUAGUUGGUGGGGGAAAGGCCUACCAAGCCGACGAUCGGGAGCUGGUCGGAGAGGACGACCAGCCGCACGGGGGAGAAGACACGGCCCAGACGCCUACGGGAGGCAGGAGGGGGGAAUUUGGACAAUGGGCGCAAGCCUGAUCCAGCAAUGCCGCGUGCAGGAAGAAGGCCUUCGGGUUGUAAACUGCUUUUGUACGGAGCGAAAAGGCUAUCUCUAAUACAGGGGGCUGAUGACGGUACCGUAAGAAUAAGCACCGGCUAACUACGUGCCAGCCGCCGCAGUAA